CUGCUGCCUCCCGUAGGAGUCUGGGCCGUGUCUCAGUCCCAAUGUGGCCGGUCAACCUCUCAGUCCGGCUACUGAUCGUCGCCUUGGUGGGCCGUUACCCCGCCAACCAGCUAAUCAGACGCGAGUCCAUCUCAGAGCGAUAAAUCUUUGGCAGUCAGAGCCAUGCGGCCCAACUGCAUUAUGCGGUAUUAGCACAUCUUUCGAUGUGUUAUUCCCCACUCCAAGGCAGGUUACUCACG
Molecule: ribosomal RNA, 239 nt
Filed under: uncultured bacterium
Lineage: Bacteria
Description: partial 16S ribosomal RNA
Source: RNAcentral